GUACUUUGCAUAUGAUGAAGAGUGUUGGUAGGGACAUCUGAUUUUGAUGAAGAAAUGCCAACCUCUCGAAGUGG
Acipenser ruthenus (sterlet) is the source of this 74-nucleotide small nucleolar RNA. RefSeq annotates it as small nucleolar RNA SNORD74. NCBI's taxonomy places the organism in Eukaryota, Metazoa, Chordata, Actinopteri, Acipenseriformes, Acipenseridae. The transcript has a single exon. The record is from RefSeq and is a predicted model, not a curated record.